GCCCGGCUGGCGCAAUGGCUAGCGCAUACGACUUCUAAUCGUAAGGUUGUGGGUUCGAGCCCCACGUCGGGUU
This is a transfer RNA of 73 nucleotides. It matches the Rfam family "tRNA". Rfam says of the family: Transfer RNA (tRNA) molecules are approximately 80 nucleotides in length. Their secondary structure includes four short double-helical elements and three loops (D, anti-codon, and T loops). The record is from Rfam.